UGAAUAAUAAAUGAAGUCCAGGAGGUGGUA
This 30-nucleotide non-coding RNA is filed under the name Mus musculus (house mouse). The record is from RNAcentral. Lineage: Eukaryota; Metazoa; Chordata; Mammalia; Rodentia; Muridae.